AACAAAGUGCCUGAAUAAAGGACUGCCUUGAUGUGGCAGAUCAUGAUUUUAACAAAUCCUUUGUUU
Molecule: transfer RNA, 66 nt
Filed under: Pedicinus obtusus
Lineage: Eukaryota; Metazoa; Arthropoda; Insecta; Psocodea; Pedicinidae
Description: tRNA-Ile
Source: RNAcentral